AUGGAGCAGAACACGGCGACGAAACCCAUCAGGUGCAAAGCGGCGGUGAGCAAGGUGGCCGGGCAGCCGCUGGAGAUGGAGGAGGUGGAGGUGGCGCCGCCGCGGGCGCACGAGGUCCGCAUCAGGAUACUCUGCACCUCGCUCUGCCACACCGACCUCACCUUCUGGCGCUUGAAGGAUUUCCCGGGCCAGCAUCCGAUAAUCCUGCGCCAUGAAGCAGCCGGCGUGGGGGAGCACGUGCACGAGGUGGCCGUCGGGGACACGGUGGUGCCGGUGUUCUCGGCGCAGUGCGGCGACUGCCCCGACUGGCGACUGCCUCUCCGGCCGCAGCUCCCCGCCCGGCCCGGCAUGCCGCGCGACGGCACGGCCCGCUUCUCGUUCGCCGCCACCGGCGAGCCCAUCCACAACUUCACCGGCGUGUCCAGCUUCACCGAGUACACGGUCGUCGAUGUCGCGCACGUCGUCAGGCUUAAGCCUGGCGUCCCGCCGGAGAAGGCCUGCCUGCUCAGCUGCGGCGUCUCCACCGGUGUUGGCGCGGCGUGGAAGGUGGCGGCGGUGGAGCCCGGGUCCAGCGUCGCCGUGUUCGGGCUCGGCGUCGUCGGGUUAGCGGUAGCACAAGGGUGCAGGAUGCGUGGGGCUAAGCAGAUUGUUGGAGUGGAUCUGAACCCGGAGAAGGGGAGAAUAUCAGGUAAGAGGCUGGGAAUCACCGACUUCAUCAAUCCGAACGACACCGGGGAGAAGGCCGUGAGCGAGGUCGUCAAGGAGAUGACCGGCGGCGGCGCCGACUACUGCUUCGAGUGCAUCGGCUCGACGUCGGUCAUGGCGGAGGCGUUCCAAAGCUCCCGGAAGGGCUGGGGGAAGACGAUCGCGCUCGGCGUCUCCAGCGGCGUUGCGCCGAUCAGCAUACCCCCGGAAGACAUCCUCAUGGGGAGGUCGCUCGUCGGCUCGCUCUUCGGCGGGCUCAAGCCCACGGCCGACAUCCCGAUCCUGGCGCAGAAGUACGUGGACAAGGAGCUGGAGCUGGACGAGUUCGUGACGCACGAGAUGCGGUUCGACGACAUCAACAGAGCGUUCGAGCUCCUCACGCAGUGCUUCAUCUGGAUGGGCGGGGACAGGGAGAACGGCGUCGGCGUGGAGGCCCUCGAUAAUGCGUGA
RNAcentral lists this ribosomal RNA (1155 nucleotides) under Triticum aestivum (bread wheat). RNAcentral's name for it is "partial small subunit ribosomal RNA". Lineage: Eukaryota; Viridiplantae; Streptophyta; Magnoliopsida; Poales; Poaceae. The record is from RNAcentral.